UCUAUGAAACUUAUACACUAAAAGUCUAUUCUCAGCAAUCUUAUACUCCUUUCCAUUCCCGUUCAUACCUCUCUCUCUCCAAUUGAGCAAGUCUUCAUAUACCCAAAAUACCAAAACACCAAAAUUCUUCAAAAUCCUCUAAGAACGGAAGUCACCAACUGAAAUGGAGAAGGAAUUGGAGUAAGGUGCAGUCCAAAAGAAGAAUUUAACUCAACUAAUUGCAAGUUGGAGCAAGGAUUUGAUCAUAACAUCAAGCUACAAAGAGGUACGUUAGUUAUAUUUGCUGAGUUUAUGAAUUGAGAAAAUAGAGAAUAGUUUAUUGUUACUAUAAAUUGAAUUGCUUGAUUUGUGAUUGAGUUGUGAAUUAGUUUGAGGAGGUUUAUGCAUGACAUAUGGAGUGAUAAGGAAGAAAUUUUUUGGAUAAAUUCAUGUAAGAACUCUAUUUUUAAAACUAAUGCACAUAUAGUGUGUUUGAAAAAUUGCGCUGUCAAGCAUAAAUAGAAGGAUUUGGUCAAGUUUGUGAUUAAGGAAUUCUUUAUACAUGUUUUAUAAAGUAAGUCAAGCUGUUUGGGUGAUCCCAAACAAGUUUAAAAGCGAAUUUAUGAGAAUUGAACAAGUUUGGCUCGGUUGAAAAUCUGCUCCAACAUGGCAGUUUUGAGCUCUUAUAAAACCGGUUUAAGUUGUUCAUUUUGGCUGAUUUAUAUUUUUAUAAAAUAAUAUGUAGUACCAUCUAGAACAUAUUAAAAUUUGAGAGCAAUUAGAUGUGUGGAUUGCAAGAUAGAAAAUCGUAAAGUAGGCAAGAAAAUAACAAAGUUGUUAGAAAUCUGGAAAAUUUCUUAGUCUGAAACUACUGUGAAUGGGCUGUUUCGCGCCAUUGUUUCGAAGCCUUGUCAAACUCUUUUCAUACAUGUUAUAUUUUUUAAAAAAUACUACGUAGUAUGAGGUAGAACAUAUCACAAAAUGGCUUCAAUCUGAUGUAUAAUGAGUGAGAUAAUAUUUUGCAAAACUAGCACGAAAAUCACAAAAUUCAAAAUUUCUAGAUUUUUGCCAAGAGCCUGGGCAGUGUGCAUGCAAUCCUACGAAGGUUACUGUUUCUAGCACGCCGAGUUAAUUUUUGGGCAUUACGUAAUUUUUUGAUGUGUUGCUCAAUUUUUCGUAUAGAAUCCAAAUAUGUAAUCAUUUCGUAGCACUUUUUGGAAAACCCAAAAAGUGUGAACUAAUUAGAAGAAAAUUUUCGCUAUUUUGUUAACUUUGAUGCAAUUUCAUAAUAUAAUUAAGUUGUGUAGUAGUAUGGAUGUAUUUGUUAACCUACAUAAGGUAUAAUACAUCAAAGCAUAAGGUAGGGCUAAGCAAGUAAUCAAAUUGGAACAGAAACCACACCAAAAACCGCACGAACCGCACCAAUUAAAAUCGCAUCACCGAUUCCGGCGUAUUUGGCGGUUAUAGGUGGGUUGAAUAACUAAAUUUACGAUUCCGAUUUGGUUACUAGCCAAAAUCGCACGCAUAAAAUUGAGUUCGCACCAUGUGUGUGUAUGUAUGUAUUAUCUCUAGUAAAUUCUAAAGUUACUUUCACAUGAAUACGCUCAGAGAAAACCUCAGUCUUGCAUUGUCAUUGUUUCACCAAUUGAAAGAAGAUUGUUAGAGGUUAUAGAGUCAAAAAUUAAGCAAUUGAGUUUUGGAAUUUCGAAUUUGUUUGAUGCGUUAUUGGAGGGGCUUAUAGCUGAGGGGCCAAAUUCGUUGAUUUGAGCACUUGAUGCAUUGGUUAAGGUCAAUAUUAUAAUAGUAAUAGUCUAAUAGAUUAUUUUUCAAAUUAGGUAAAGUUAGGAUUAUAUCCUAUAAGUCCUCCCUGCAAUAUAUAAGAUAGAAUUUCAUUCUAUCUCCAGUAUAUACUAUUAAUUUUUGGAGAACUAGAUAAACAUUCUAUCUCCAGUAUAUACUGUUAAUUUCUGGGUAACCCAUAAUAGUUAUCAUGGUCGGUCAACGGUUUUGUAGCUUUCAUAUCUUUGAAUCUGUGUAAUAGAUUUGUGUUGUGUUUGUUGUAAUAGGUAGUCUAUAUGUCAAAGUACAUAUAUAUAACACUAGUUUGGACCAAGCAUGAUUCUAAGGUCUCGAUCUAUAUAUGUUGGUCAAAGUACAGCCAAAGGUUGUUCUUCAUGUUCAUCAGUUUUUUGGGUAACCCAUAAAACUUGGUCAAGCUCGGUCAACGAAUUUUGACCAUUAAUUUCAGUAAUCAUAUGAACUGUUUAACCAAUUUAAGGUCAUAGAUAUGUAAUAUGUAUAUCAAGGUAUUAAUUUAUUACAAAAAGUUAUUAAAACAACAAACAGAAAGCGAUUAAAAGGCUGGUCAAAGUAGUCAGUUCAACCUGUUCUUAAGUUUUCUGGGUAACCCAGAAAACAGAACAUCGUGAUCGGUCAACCACCUUUGACCACCUAUAUCUUGAAAUAUAUGGUUCUAAUGAACCUGUUUUCUUUUUCAGAAUAAAGACCUCAUGUCAUGCUACAAAUAACACAUAAUUAACAGACCUAAUUAUUAACAUACAUGAAUCUACAAGCUUUGAUAUUCGACUGUCAGACUUGUUUUUUCAAAAUUCCUAGAUUGCUUAACACACUAAUUUGAGGCAUCUAGAUGUUAUGAAAACAUGUUCUAUUAACUUAGCAUACUUUCUAACAUGUUAUUACAUAUAUCUAAACAUCUAAACAACAAUUUGAACAAAGCAUCAAAGAUCUAGCUAUGAAUUAGGGUUUGCACAUUUCUUGCUUGAUUUUGAUUUCUGGCUAUUGAAUCUGUUAUUGCUAUCACCAGGGCUUGUAUAGGCAGGUUAUAUGAGUGUUUUGGCUUAUAAUUUUUGUGGGUUUGUUCUGAGCUAGGUUUUUUUUUAUAAAUUUUUCUAACUUGGCUUUUUGGUCAUUUUUCCGCCUACUUGCCUCCUAAAAGAUCUGAUCUAUGACUCUUCUGGUGCUUGAGAGUUUGGAAGCAUGUCAUGUGAUGUUUUGGGACUUGUGUGGAUGACUCUCAACCUACUUGUGAGCUAGUUGACCAAAUUAGUAUCUUAAAUAUGCCCUAAUUCUCAUUAAUUUUGAUUAGGGUUUUGUUUUUAAUGAUUAGGGUUGCUUAAUGUUGUUUAUUAGUACCUAAUUGACAUUUAUUAAUCAUGAUUAGGUGUUAGAAUAACCUAAUUAGGGUUUAGUUUAGCUAAUUAGGGUUAGGGUUUACAAAUUAGGGUUAGGAUUUAUAAUCUAGGGUUUCUAACCUUGAUUUUACAUAAAUCCUAACAAGCACGACAAGGCAUUUUGUCAGUGUAAGCAUGAUAAAGCAGCUUAUCAAAACAAAUAUACCAAAAAGUUCAUUUUCAGAAGAAAAUUUUUAAGCACAAGGUAUCAAGCACGUCAAUUUUUGGGCGAAAAUUUAUUUUACCAAAUUUGUUUAACAAAGUAUAUAUUAACACAUAACAGUUUCAGAAUGGGGAGAUUUUAUUAAUAUAACUGAAUUUAUAUAUCCGAGUCUUAUUAGGGUUUUGCGGUUUUACAUUCACCCCCGCUAAUAAGAAUUCUGUCCUCGAAAUUACAGUACAGGUUAAGUAAACAGUUAGGGAUAGUUCUCUCGCAUUUUAUCUUUGAGCUCCCAUGUAGCCUCUUCAACGUUCUGAUUCCUCCAGAUCACUUUGAACGAUGCUAUCACUUUAUUCCUCAGGACUUGCUCUUUACGAUCAACGAUCUGCACAGGUUCUUCUACAUAAGAAAGAUCUUCUUCAAUUUCGAUUAGCUCAUAAUUUAUAAUAUGUUUAUAAUCAGGUUUGUAUGGUUAUAAUACGAAUACAUGAAACACAUUAUGAAUAUGGUUUAACUCAGGAGGUAGUGUUAUUUCAUAAGCAACUUCACAUAUGCUCCUCAAAAUUUCAAAAGGUCUAAUGAAUCUCGAACUCAGUUUUUCUUUCUUGCCAAAACGUAUCCUUCCAAGGAGAUACUUUCAAGAAUACGUGGCUUCUUACGCUAAAGUUUCGUUGUUGACGAUGUGGAUCAGCGUAUUUUCUCUGACGAUCUUGAGAUGCUUGUAAUCGCUCACGUAUAAUUCUGAUGGUUUUAGUAGUUUGUUGAAUUAUAUUAGGUCCUAACAUUUGUCUUUCCCCGACCUCAUCCCAACAUAAGGGUGUUCUACAUUUUCUCCCAUAUAAGGCUUCAUAUGGUGGCAUACCUAUACUAGCAUACAUAUACUAGCAUGAUAACUGUUGUUGUAGGCAAAUUCCACCAAAGGUAAUUGAUCUUCCCAACUUCCUUUGAAGUUAAUGAUAUAUGUUCUCAACAUAUCCUCUAAUGUUUGAAUGAUUCUCUCACUUUGCCCAUCUUUUUGAGGGUGAUAAGAUGUAUUCAAUCUUAAUUGUGUUCCUAAAUGUUUUUGAAGGCUCUUCCAAAAAUCCGAAGUAAAACGUGGAUCUCGAUCUGAUACUAUAGAAACAGGUACUCCAUGCCUAGAGAUGAUUUCAUUAAUGUAUAGCUUGGCAAGGUGGUUUAAGUUAUGGGUAAUUUUAAUAGGUAAAAAGUGAGCUGAUUUGGUUAAACGGUCAACUAUUACCCAAAUGGCAUUGUGGCCCUUCUGUGUACCUGGAAGGCCUACCACAAAGUCCAUGGUUAUAUGUUCCACUUUCACUCAGGAAUUGGUAAGGGUUGAAGUAAUCCACUUAGCUUUUGGUGUUCAGCUUUAACCCUUUAACAUGUGAGACAUUUACUUACCCAUUCAUCUAUUGCUCUUUUCAUAUUCGACCACCAAAAGUGUUGACUUAAGUCUUUGUACAUUUUUGUACGGCUAGGAUGUAUGGCAAAUGUAGAAUUAUGAGCUUCGUUUAAGAUUUCGUCUUUUAAGGGUUGGUUUAACGGAACCCAAAUUCUAUCUUCAUAUCUUACUAUUCCAUCCUUGUCUAUUCUUAAUAUGAGUUAUAUUAGACUUAUAUUUCUGACAUUCAUCAUCCUUUUCCUGCAUCUCUUCGAUUCUAUCAAGUAGAGAUGAAACUCCCUCUAGAAUGAAUAACUUUUGGGUAGAGAUUGUUGGACAUUCCACCUCAAUUUCUAAUUUUUCAAAAUCUUUUAUUAACCUAUCAUUGGUGGUUAUUACGUUCAACUUUUCUUGAUUCUUUCUACUUAACGCAUCAGCUACGACAUUAGCUUUACCGGGAUGAUAUAAGAUUUCACAUUCAAAAUCCUUUAUCAAUUCUAACCAUCUUCUCUGUCUUAAGUCCAGUUCUUUUUGGUAAAAAAUAUUUUAGACUUUUAUGAUCUGUAUAUAUCUCGCACUUCUCCCUGUACAAGUAAUGUCUCCAAAUUUUUAGAGCAAAGACUACCGCAGCUAACUCUAGGUCAUGAGUAGGAUACCUCUUCUCAUAAUCUUUGAGUUGUCGUGAUGCAUAAGCAAUCACUUUCCCAUGUUGCAUCAACACACACCCUAAACCUCUAUGUGACGCAUCACUAAAAAUUACAAGGCAUCUUGUAUCAUCUGGUAAGGACAACACUAGAGCCAUGCUCAAUCGCUUCUUCAACUCUUGAAAGCUCUCUUCAUAUUUUUUUUGUCCAAACGUAUUUGACCAUCUUUCGAGUUAAAUUGGUUAGUGGGGUUGCUAUUUUUGAAAAAUCUUUUAUAAACCAUCGAUAAUAACCUGCUAAACUGAUAAAACUUCUUACUUCUAUUGGAAUUGUUGGUUGUUCCCAAUUCACAACUUUUUCGAUCUUAGUUAGAUCUACUGAUAUUCCAUCUUUGUCAAUUACAUGACCUAAAAAUUGAACUCUCUUUAACCAGAAUUCACACUUCGAAAAUUUCGCAUAAAGUUGUUCCUUUCAUAAUAUCUCUAAAAUAACUCUCAAGUGUUCAACAUGUUCUUCCUGUGUUUUCGAGUAUACCAGAAUAUCGUCGAUAAACACUACAACAAAUUGUCCAAGCAUGGUUUAAACACUCGAUUCAUUAAAUCCAUAAAUGUUGCUGGUGCAUUUGUCAAUCCAAAAGACAUUAUAAGAAACUCAUAAUGUCCAUAGCGAGUCCUGAACGCUGUUUUUGGCACAUCUUCCUUUCUUAACUUUAACCGAUGAUAACAUGUUCUAAGGUCAAUCUUUGAAAAGUGUUCGGCCCCCUUUAAUUGGUCAAACAAAUAAUCAAUCCUUGGUAAAGGAUAUUUAAUCUUAAUGGUUAAUUUGUUUAAUUCUCUAUAAUCUAUACAUAAUCUCAUGGUUCCAUCCUUCUUCUUUACAAAUAAUAUUGAUGCUCCCCAAGGUGAAACACUAAGUUGUUUGUACUUUUUAUCUAAGGGUUCCUGUAAUUGUACUAGUAACUCUUUCAGUUCUACAGGUGUCAUUCUAUACGGUGCCUUAGAAACCGGUGCCGUUCCCAAUGCAAGAUCAAUGACAAACUCAAUUUUCCUAUAUGGAGGUAAACCUGGUAAGUCAUCCGAAAAUACAUCGGGAAAAUCCUUAACUACGGGUAUUUGAUCUAGUUUUACUCCUUCCUGUUAAGUAUCAACCAUCUAGGCAAAAUAUCCUGAACAAUCUUUUUUAAAUAACCUUUCUGCUUGAGUUAUGGUCAAGCAUCUAGAUUGCUUAGGUGAACAACUUCCGUUGAACACUACCUUUGACUUCGAUGCAGUAAAAAGGUUUAUACGUUUUUGAUGAUAAUCAAUCAUCGCAUUAUGGUUAACUAACCAAUCCAUUCCUAAGAUUAAAUCAAAUUAUCCCAACUAAAUUGGAAUAAGAUCUACCAGAAAAUUGUGUCCCUUAUCUCCACACUACAAUUCCUAUAUAUGGUUUUAACCGGAAUCUUUUCGUUGUUUGCAAUUUCUAUACAAAAUGGUUUGUCUAAAUUUUCACAUGUUAUAUUCAGGUUUUUAAAAAAACUAUUAGACACAAAGGAACAAGUAGCACCAGAAUCGAAUAACACAUAUGCAUUUAAAGUGUUGAUAGGGAUGAUACCUGUCACCACGUCCUGUGCAGCAACAGCAUCCCUCACCGACAUAUUAAAUGUUCUCGCGGUUGGUCGACUCUGAACUCCAACUACAGCUACUGUUGACUGAUUAUUGUUAUUCUUCGGUACUCUAUUCCCCUUUCCUCCCUGGUUCUUAGGUUUGGGACAAUUUCUUGUGAAAUGAUCCGACAAACCACAAUUGAAACAUUUCUUUUUAUUGGGGAGAGGACACUGUGGAGAAAGGUGUCCCAUUUGUCCACAAUUAUAACAUUUACUAUUAAAACAUACCCAUUUAUGUUUUUCUCCAUAGGUAUAACAAGGUUUAAUGUUAUUAUUACUAAAGUUACUAUUGUUAUUACCUAUAUUUUUUCCCGUGUUAUUGGAAAAAGUAGUAUACCAUUUCUGUUUAUUAUUAAACCCACCUAAAUUGGGUUCAGUCUUAAGUUUCCCUUUCUCAUUUUGACUCUUCUUUUUCUGAUAAAAUUUAAUGAGACUUUCGUUUUCACUUUCAGCUAUAGAAGCUUUCUCGAGUAUUUCUGAAAAAGUCUUUAUUUGGAGUACCGAUAAUUUACUUCGUAUCUGAGGUUUCAAACCUUCUUGAUACCUCUGAGUCUUUCUAAGUUCAAUAUUGACUUGGUGAGGAGCAAACCUGGACAGUUCGUUGAACUUGGCUGUAUACUGAGAUACAGUCUCCUUGUUUUAAUUCUAGAAAUUUUACUUCCAUAUGAUCUUUCAAAGAUUGAGAAAAAUAGUUUUCAAAGAACAAAUCUUUGAAUUUAUCCGAAGGUACAAUUUUAGUUUCUACCCGACACUUAGGUGAUUCCCACCAAUCAGGUCUCUUUGUUUUAAUUCUAGAAAUUAUACUUUCAUACGAUCUUUCAAAGACUGAGGAAAAUAGUUUUCAAAGAAAAAUUCUUUGAAUCUAUCCCAAGGUACAAUUUCAGUUUCUACUUGACCCUUAGUUGAUUCCCACCAGUAAUUAGUCUCACCUUUCAAGAAAAAGGUUGCAAAAUUCGUCUUUUGAUUAUUAUUGACAUUGGUUACUAGAAAAAAAAUUUCUAUUUCAGUAAUCCAAAUUUUUGCAUCGACAGGUUCAGUUGUACCUUUGAACUCAGGUGGACCAACUAAUUUAAAAUCUUUAAAGGAAGUGUUUUGGGUGGUUGGUCUAUUCAUAGCACCUAACAAAAGUUCUACUAAAUUUUGGGCAGGAUUAUCAUCAUUAUUUAUCUCUCGUUGGGGUUUUCUGGUUGGUAGCAUGAUUCUAUAUAAAAUAACAAGAAAAAUCCUCAUAAGAAUUUGAAUAAUACAAACAUAUCUUUUAUUCAUAUAUCACAAGAGUCAUACAAAACGACUUAGUAGUUUACACAUACUACUAGUUCUAUUACAAACUUUAAAUGUUCCUUUAUUCAUACUAUUAUAGAGCAUUUAGACUUCUAUACUACCCUCUUGAACUCAUUAACAUCAUCGAAGGAAUCUUAGAUUAUGUGGCAUACAACAGAUCGAUCUAUCAGAUAGGCAGUUUUCUUCUCCUCCACCGGAUAUCGAAGUACUCGACGCUGCAAAUCGUUGAAAACAUCUCGAGUACCCAGAGUAGAUUUGAGAAGCCUUGACAGUAUUUUUUUCCUGCCCCUUUGUGCAUGGUGCAGUUGUACUUUUAGUCGAUUAUUGGUUCCCCUUUCAUGCUUUAACAUUCCCUCAACUAAGUGUGCCCUAAACUGCAUUUUAUUAUUCUCAUAUUCAGAAGUCUUCAUUAGUAAUGUCAUUGCUUCAUCAUGUUCAUCAAUUCUCAUUAAUUGCCCUGCUACUGGAUCUUCCUCUUCCUCAGCAUCUAGCAGUUGUUGAUCACGAAGCAAUUCUUCAUCCUCUGCAUCACUAGCUAUAAAUGACUCAAUUUGUGGUGGAUUGUUUAGUACUAUCACCAUUUCUUCAGCACUGGAGUUAGCCAUCUUUAAAAUAAAAAUUCCUUUAAUACUGGUAUGGAAAUUUACACAACACAAUAUUGUUUUUAUGUUAUUUUUAUGUGUACUUUAAAAUUUUUACGGACUCGAAUACUAUAUACUAAGAUUUCUCUUCCUUAUAUCUAUAGCCUUAACAGCUCUGAUACCAUUAAUGUAACACCCCCAUAUCUAUACAUCCACUGUAUCCGAUAUGGUGCUUACUACAAGUCAAUAUAUAUAACGCAUUCAAAUCUAUACACACAUGGUAUCCGAUUAAAUGCUUAUAUCUAAUUGAGUGACUAUACAAUUUAUAACCAGAUAUAAUUUCCAUAGAUUCAAGAUUCAUAACAUCCCAUAACAGAUAACAAUUCUCAAGAGAACUAUUGGUGUGUUUGGAUACCCUCACAUGGAUAUAUGAACUAUAUCUGUGAAUAGUAUAUAUCUAUCCGAAGUUCAGAGUAUCAGUAAUAACAUGAACAGUCCAUAUUACCAAUACCCUCACUCAGAUGUAUAGUCUAUGUCAUGUGAAUUACACUAUCGUAUCGAUAGUACCUAUUUAUCCAAAAUUCAGAGUAUUAACAACAUGAACAGUCCAUGUUAUCAAUACCCUCACUCAGAUAAAUAGUUCCCAAGGAUCUCAACUAAUUUGAACAUUCUAAUUACAUCUAUAUAUGUAAGAAAACACGGUUGCAGAAAUAAAAAAUAUUAUAUAUCAUAAAUAUUAAGGUUUGAUUACAUGAUUCUUCAUAAAGAAUUUCUUAUUACAAAGUAUUCAACCUGACAGGAAUACAAGCUAAUCUAAGCAAGGACGGUUCCCUUUAUCUACUCCAGAUGUGUCAGGGUUAUUAUCUAAUACUGUAAAGGGAAUAAUUUGCAAGGGUGAGCUAUGACAUUCUCAGCAGGCACUUUAUUUAUAACAAUAUAUGAUUUGAAAAAGUAUAACAAUUUAAAAUUUAACUGAUAGUUGCUACCAUUUCUGGAAUUUCUUUUUUAACCAUUUCUAGACUUUUUAUUUCUGUCAGUCACACAGACUUAGAAACUUUGUUUAGAUAUGAGAUAGGGGAUCAGUCUACUCAAUAUCCUAGGAGUAUGUAUCUCAUCCUAUUAGUGCUCAUAUGCACCCAAAUGUCUUGCUUUGGUAAGACAUCUUAUCCUAAAGUUGUGUAUCCCGUAAGGGAUCGAGAUUUGGUCAAUAAUAUAUUGACAUUUGGGUGCAUAUGAGCACUAGUAGGAUGAGAUGCAUACUCCUAGGAUAUUGAGUAGGUUGAUCCCCUAUCUCAUAUCUAAACAAGGUUUUUAAGUCUGUGUGACUGAUCACAAAAAUAAAAAGUCCAGAAAUGGUUGAAAAAGAAAUUUCAGAAAUGGUAGCAACUAUCAGUUAAAUUUUGAAUUGUUAUACUUCUUCAAAUCAUAUAUUGUUAUAAAUAUAAAGCCUACUGAGCAUGUCAUAGCUCACCCUUCCAAAUUAUUCCCUUUGCAGUAUUAGAUGGUAACCCUGGCACAUCUGGAGUAGCUAAAGGGAAGCGUCCUUGCUUUAAUUAGCUUAUAUUCCUGUUUGGUUGAAUACUUUGUAAUAAUUAAGAAAUUAUUUAUGAAGAAUCAUGUAAUCGAAUCUUAAUAUUUAUGAUAUAUAACAUCUUUUAUUUCCGCAACCGUGUUUUCUUACAUAUAUAGAUGUAAUUAGAAUCUUCAAAUUAGUUGAGAUCAUUGGGAACUAUUUAUCUGAGUGAGGGUAUUGAUAACAUGGACUGUUCAUGUUGUUGUUAAUACUCUGGAUUUUGGAUAAAUAGGUAUUAUCGAUACAAUAGUGUAAUUCGCAUGACAUAGACUAUACAUCUGAGUGAGGCAAUUGGUAAUAUGGACUGUUCAUGUUAUUACUAAUACUCUGAACUUCGGAUAGAUAGAUACUAUUCACAGCUACAGUUCAUAUAUCCAAGUGAGGGUAUCCAAACACAGCAAUAGUCCUCUUGAGAAUUGUUAUCUGUUAUGGGAUACUGUGAAUCUUGGAUCUAUGGGAAUUAUAUCUGAUUAUAAAUUGUAUAGUCACUCAAUUAGAUAUAAGAAUUUAAUCGGAUACCAUGGGUGUAUAGAUUCUAAUGUGUUAUAUAUAUUGACUUGUAGUAAGCACCAUAUCGGAUACCAUGGGUGUAUAGAUAUGGGGGCGUUACAUUAAUGGUAUCAAAGUUGUUAAGGCUAUAGAUAUAAGGAAGAGAAUCUUAGUAUAUAUUAUUCGAGUCCGUAAAAAUUUUAAAGUACACAUAAAAAUAACAUUAAAAAUAAUAUUAUGUUAUUUUUCAUACCAGUAUUAAAGGUGUUUUAAUUUUAUAGAUGGACAACUCCAGUGCUAAACAAAUGGUGAUAGUAAAUAAUCCACCACAAAUUGAGUCAUUUAUAGCUAGUGAUGCAGAGGAUGAAGAAUUGCUUCAUGAUCAACAACUGUUAGAUGCUGAGGAAUAGGAAGAUCCAGUAGCAGGGCAAUUAAAUGAGAAUUGAUGAACAUGAUGAAUGGCAUCACUAAUGAAGACUUCUAAAUAUGAGAAUAAUAAAAUGCAGUUUAUGGCACACUUAGCUGAGAGAAUGUUAGAUCAUGAAAGAGGAACUAAUAAUCAACUGAAACUACAAUUGCACCGUGCAAAAAGGGGCAGGAAGGAAAUACAGUUAAGGCUUCUCCAAUCUGCUCUGGGUACUCGACAUGUUUUCAAUGUUUCCAGCGCCAAGUAGUUCGAUAUCCAGUGGAAGAUAAGAAAAAUGCCUAUCUGAUAGAUCAAUCUGUGGUAUGCCAUAUGAUCCAGGUACAACUGAACCUGUCGAUGCACAGAUUUGGAUUACUAAAAUAAAAACAAUUUCCUAGUAACCAAUGUCAAUAAUAAUCAAAAGAUGACUUUUGCAACCUUUUUCUUGAAAGCUGAGGCUAAUUACUGGUGGGAAUCAACUAAGGGUAGGGUAGAAACUGAAAUUGUACCUUGCGAUAGAUUCAAAGAAUUGUUCUUUGAAAACUAUUUUUCUUAGUCUUUGAAAGAUCGUAUGGAAGUAAAAUUUUUAGAAUUAAAACAAAAAGACCUGAUUGUAUCUCAGUAUACAGCCAAGUUCAACGAACUGUCCAGGUUUGCUCCUCACCAAGUCAAUACUGAACUUAGAAAGACUCGGAGGUAUCAAGAAGGUUUGAAACCUCAGAUACGAAGUAAAUUAUUGGUACUCCAAAUAAAGACUUUUUCAGAAAUACUCGAGAAAGCUUCUAUAGCUGAAAGUGAAAAUGAAAGUCUCAUUAAAUUUUAUCAGGAAAAGAAGAGUCAAAAUGAGAAAGGGAAACUUAAAACUGAACCCAGUUCAGGUGGGUUUAAUAAUAAACGGAAAUGGGAUACUAUUUUUUCCAACAACCCGAGGAAAAAGAUAGGUAAUAACAAUAAUAACUUUAGUAAUAAUAACAUUAAACCUUGUUCUACCUGUGGAGGAAAACAUAAAGGGGUAUGUUUUAAAAGUAAAUGUUACAAUUAUAGACAAAUGGGACACCUUUCACCAUAGUGUCCUCUCCCUAAUAAAAAUAAAUGUUUCAAUUGUGGUUCGUCGGAUAAUUUCGCAAGGAAUUGUCCCAAACCUAAGAACCAGGUAGGAGAGGGAAUAGAGUACCGAAGAAUAACAAUAAUCAGUCAACAGUAGUUGCAGGCGAAGUUCAGAGUCAACCAGUCGCGAGAACAUUUAAUAUGUCAAUGAGGGAUGUUGUUGCUUCAAAGGAAGUGGUGACAGGUAUCAUCCCUAUCAACACUUUAAAUGCAUGUGUGUUAUUCAAUUAUGGUGCUACUUGUUCCUUUGUGUCUCAUAGUUUUUCUAAAAACCUGAAUAUACCAUGUGAAAAUUUAGACAAACCAUUUUGUAUUAAAAUUGCAAACAACAAAAAGAUUCCGGUUAAAACCAUAUAUAGGAACUGAAGUGUGGAGAUUGAAGGACUUAAUUUUCUAGUAGAUCUUAUUCCAAUUCAGUUGGGAGAAUUCGAUGUAAUCUUAGGAAUGGAUUGGUUGGUUAACCAUAAUGCGAUGAUUGAUUGUCAUCAAAAACAUAUAAACCUUUUGACUGCAUCAAAGUCAAAGGUAGUGUUCAACGGAAGUUGUUCACCUAAGCAAUCUAGAUUCUUGACCAUAACUCAGGCAGAAAGGUUACUUAGAAAAGGUUGUUCAGGAUAUUUGGCCUAUAUAGUUGAUACUCGACAGGAAGGAGAGAAAUUAGAUCAAAUACCUGUAGUUAAAGAUCUUCUCGAUGUAUUUUCGGAUGACUUACCAGGUUUACCUCCAGAUAGGGUAAUUGAGUUUGUCAUUGAUCUUCCACCGGGAACGACACCAGUUUCUAAGGCACCGUACAGAAUGGCACCUGUAGAACAGAAAGAGUUACUAGUACAAUUAUAAGAACUCUUAGAUAAAAAGUACAUACAACCUAGUGUUUCACCCUGGGGAACACCAUUAUUAUUUGUAAAGAAAAAGGAUGGAACCAUAAGAUUAUGUAUAGAUUAUAGAGAAUUAAAUAAAUUAAACAUUAAGAAUAAAUAUCCUUUACCAAGGAUAGAUGAUUUGUUUGACCAAUUAAAAGGGGCCGAACACUUUUCAAAGAUUGACCUUAGAACAGGUUAUCAUCGGUUAAAGUUAAGAAAGGAAGAUGUGCCAAAAACAGCGUUCAGGACUCGCUAUGGACAUUAUGAGUUUCUUGUAAUGUCUUUUGGAUUGACAAAUGCACCAGCAUUUAUGGAUUUAAUGAAUCGAGUGUUUAAACCAUGCUUGGACAAUUUGUUGUAGUGUUUAUCGACGAUAUUCUGGUAUACUCGAAAACACAUGAAGAGCAUGUUGAACACUUGAGAGUUAUUUUAGAGAUAUUACGAAAGGAACAACUUUAUACGAAGUUUUCGAAGUGUGAAUUCUGGUUAAAGAGUUCAAUUUUUAGGUCAUGUAAUUGACAAAGAUGGAAUAUCGGUAGAUCCGACUAAGAUCGAAAUGGUGGUGAAUUGGGAACAACCAACAACUCCAACAGAAGUAAGAAGUUUUCUCGGUUUAGCGGGUUAUUAUCGACGGUUUAUAAAAGAUUUUUCAAAAAUAGCAACCCCACUAACCAAUUUAACUCAAAAGACGGUAAAAUACGUCUGGACAGAUAAAUGUGAAGAGAGCUUCCAAGAGUUAAAGAAGCGAUUAAGCAUGGCUCUAGUGUUGUACUUACCAGAUGAUAUAGGAGGCCUUGUAGUUUUUUAGUGAUGCGUCACAUAGAGGUUUAGGGUGUGUGUUGAUGCAACAUGGGAAAGUGAUUGCUUAUGCAUCACGACAACACAAAGAUUAUGAGAAGAGGUAUCCUACUCAUGACCUAAUGUUAGCUGCGGUAGUCUUUGCUCUAAAAAUUUGGAGACAUUACUUGUACGGGGAGAAAUGCAAGAUAUAUACAUAUCAUAAAAGUCUGAAGUAUAUUUUUACACAAAACAAACUGAACUUAAGACAGCGAAGAUGGUUAGAAUUGAUAAAGGAUUUUGAUUGUGAAAUCUUAUAUCAUCCCGGUAAAACUAAUGUCGAAGCUGAUGCGUUAAGUAGAAAGAAUCAAGAAAAGUUGAACGUAAUAACCACCGAUGAUAGGUUAAUAAAAGAUUUUGAAAAAUUAGAAAUUGAGGUGGAAUGUCCAACUACCUCUACCCAAAAGUUAUUCAUUCUAGAGGGAGUUUCAUCUCUACUUGAUAUAAUCAAAGAGAUGCAGGAAAAGGAUGAUGAAUGUCAGAAAUAUAAGUCUAAUAUAACUCAUAUUAAGAAUAACAAAUUCAAAAUAGACAAGGAUGGAAUAGUAAGAUAUGAAGAUAGAAUUUAGGUUCCGUUAAACCAAACAUUAAAAGACGAAAUCUUAAACGAAGCUCAUAAUUCUAAAUUUACCAUACAUCCUUGCAGUACUAGAAUGUACAAAGACUUAAGUCAACACUUUUGGUGGUCGAAUAUGAAAAGAGAAAUAGCUGAAUGGGUAAGUAAAUGUCUCACGCGUCAAAGGGUUAAAGCUGAACACAAAAAGCCGAGUGGAUUACUUCAACCCUUAACAAUUCCUGAGUGGAAGUGGGAACAUAUAACCAUGGACUUUGUGGUAGGCCUUCCAGGUACACAGAAGGGACAGGAUGCCAUUUGGGUAAUAGUUGACCGUUUAACCAAAUCAGCUCACUUUUUACCUAUUAAAGUUACCCAUAACUUAGACCACCUUGCCAAGCUAUAUAUUAAUAAAAUCAUCUCUAGGCAUGGAGUACCUAUUUCUAUAGUAUCGGAUCGAGAUUCACGUUUUACUUCAAAUUUUUAGAAGAGCCUUCAAAAACAUUUAGGAACACAAUUAAGAUUGAGUACAGCUUAUCACCCUCAAACGAAUGGGCAAAGUGAGAGGAAAUCUAGAACACCCUUGUGCUGGGAUGAGGUCGGGGAAAGACAAAUGUUAGGACCUGAGAUCAUUCAACAAACUACUGAAACCAUCAGAAUUAUACGUGAGCAAUUACAAGCAUCUCAAGAUCGACAGAGGAAAUAUGCUGAUCCACAUCGUAAACAACAAAACUUUAGCGUAGGAAGCCACGUAUUCUUGAAAGUAUCUCCUUGGAGGGGUAAGAUACAUUUUGGCAAGAAAGGAAAACUGAGUCCGAGAUUUAUUGGACCUUUUAAAAUUUUGAGGAGGAUAGGUGAAGUUGUUUAUGAAAUAGUACCACCUCCUGAGUUAAACCAUAUUCAUAAUGUGUUUCAUGUGUCCGUAUUACAACCAUACAAACCUUAUUAUAAACACGUUAUAAAUUAUGAGCCAAUCCAAAUCGAAGAAGAUCUUUCUUAUGUAGAAGAACCUGUGCAGAUUGUCGAUCGUAAAGAGCAAGUCCUGAGGAAUAAAGUGAUAGCAUCGGUCAAAGUGAUCUGGAAGAAUCAGAAUGUUGAAGAGGCUACAUGGGAGCUCGAAGAUAAAAUGCGAGAGAACUAUCCCCAACUGUUUACUUAACCUGUACUGUAAUUUCGAGGACGAAAUUCUUAUUAGUGGGGGUGAAUGUAAAGCCCCAAAACCCUAAUAAGACUCAGAUAUGUAAAUUCAGUUAUAUUAAUAAAAUCUCUCUGUUUUGAAAGUGUUAUGUGUUAAUAUAUACUCUGUUAAACAAAUUUGGUCAAAUAAAUUGACGGGCUUGACACCUCGUGCUUAAAAAUUUUCUUUCGAAAAUGGACUUUUUGGUAUAUUUAUUUUGACAAGCUGCUUUGUCGUGCUUACACUGACAAAAUGCCUUGUCGUGCUUGUUAGAAUUUAUGUAAAAUCUAGGUUAGAAACCCUAGAUUAAAAAUCCUAACCCUAAUUUGUAAAUCCUAACCCUAAUUAGUUAAACUAAACCCUAUUCUAACACCUAAUCAUGAUUAAUAAACUUCAAUUAGGUACUAAUAAACAACAUUAAGCAACCUUAAUCAUUAAAAAUAAAACCCUAAUCAAGAUUACUGAGGAUUAGGGAAUUAUUAAGCUACUAAUUUAGUUAACUAGCUCACAAGUAGGUUGAGAGUCAUCCACACAAGUCCCAAAAUAUCACAUGACAUGCUUCCAAACUCCCAAGCACCAGAAGAGUCAUAGAUCAGAUCUUUUAGGAGGCAAGUAGGUGGAAAAUGUCCAAAAAGCCAAGUUAAAAAAUUUAUAAAAGUUCUAGCUCGGAGCAAACCCACGAAAAUUAUAAGCCAAUACACUCAUAUAACCUGCCUAUACAAGCCCUGGUGAUAGCAAUAACAGAUUCAAUAGCCAGAAAUCAAAAAUCAAACAAGAAAGGUACAAACCUUAAUUCAUAGCUAGAUCUUUGAUGCUUUGUUCAAAUUGUUGUUUAGAUGUUUAGAUAUAUGUAAUAACAUGUUAGAAAGUAUGCUAAGUUAAUAGAACAUGUUUUCAUAACAUCUAGAUGCCUCAAAUUAGUGUUUUAAGCAAUCUGGAAAUUUUGAAAAAAUAAGCCUGACAGUCGAAUGUCAGAGCUUGUAGAUUCAUGUAUGUUAAUAAUUAGGUCUGUUAAUUGUGUGUUAUUUGUAGUAUGACAUGAGGUCUUUAUUAUGAAAAAGAAAAUAGGUUUAUUAGAACCAUAUAUUGCAAGAUAUAGGUUAUCAAAGGUGGUUGACCGAUCACGAAGUUCUAUUUUUUGGGUUACCCAGAAAACUCAAGAACAGAUUGAACCGGCUACUUUGACCAGCCUUUUAAUCGCUUUCUGUUUGUUAUUUUAAUAACUUUUUGUAAUAAAUUAAUACCUUGAUAUACAUAUUACAUAUCUAUGACCUUAAAUUGCUUAAACAGUUCAUAGGAUUAUUGGAAUUAAUGGUCAAAAGUCGUUGACCGAGCUUGACCAAGUUUUAUGGGUUACCCAGAAAACUGAUGAACAUGAAGAACAGCCUUUGGCUGUACUUUGACCAAAAUAGAUUGAGACCUUAGAAUCACGCUUGGUCCAAACCAGUGUUAUAUAUAUGUACCUUGACAUAUAGACUACCUAUUACAACAAACACAACACAAAUCUAUUACACAGAUUCAAAGAUAAGAAAGCUACAAAAUCGAUAACCGACCAUGACAACUAUUCUGGGUUACCCAGAAACUCAAGAACAGCUCUGAUAGUGACUUUGAGCCUCUAUAACUUCUUGUUAUAUGUAGGUUAAAGCACAAAAUUUGUCUGAUGUUGUACUACUGUAUGAGUACUAUAACAUCCAUACUUGUCCAAACCCAGAAUCAUUAACAGUAGCAAAGUAGAUCAAGGUCAAAGUGGUCCCUAGACUAUGACCGACUGAAACCCAGAAAUUCAAGAACACAUAUAACGACACUUCCUGUCACUAUAGGGCUUUAGCGACAAACAGAAAUUAUUUUUUAGAAAUUAAUUAAUAAAAAAUAGAAAUAAUUAAUAAAUAAAUACAAAAAUAGUUUUAAAAAUUAUAUUAAGUUAUUAUAAUUAACUUUUGAUAUUUUUACAUAAAUUCAAUAAAUAUUUUAUUUUAUUUGGAUAUUAUUAAUAAUUAAGUUAAUAAUAAAAUAAUUAGAAUAAUUACUUAUAAAUAAUAAAUAAUUAUUGAAAAAUAAUAUUAAUGAUUUAAAAAUCAUAAUAAAUGGUUAUAAAUUAUUUAAAAAUAGUAAACAAGGUUUUUAUAAAAUUCUAAGUAAAUAAAUGAUUUAAAAAUUAUUUAAGGGAUAAAUAAAUACUUAAAAAUUAUUAUAAACUUUUAGAAAUUAUUAUAAAGGAUAUUUAAAUUAUCUAAAAAUAUACUCCCUCCGUCCCAGGAUAAAUGUCAUUAAAUAUGGAGAGAGAAUUAGAAUAAAAAAGUAUGAGAUAUUUAAUGCUACGGGUAUAAUAGAAAAAUAUGUGAAAGUUUGGUUAUUAAAGAAAAAUGGACAUUUAACAUGGGACUACCCAAAAUAGUAAUAAGAACUUUUAUCAUGGGACGGAGGGAGUAAUAAAGCUCAUAAAUAGAUUUUAGUCGAUAUAUCAUCUUAUUUAAUAUUUGGUAAAGUCUUUGGGCACCGAAAACCAUAUCAAACUUAACCCGAACAUAUGUAGAUUAUGUAUUUGAGUAUUGUUAUCAAUACUAAUGUGUUAGAUUUAUAUGAAUGAACAUCUUAGGUGUUUAUUAACGAAUCGAGUAGCAUUGCUUGACUGAUCUUCGCUCAGGCAAGUUCCCUACCCUAAAUUACUUAUGCAAGUUCUCUAUCCUUAAAUCUCUUAUCAAGCAAGUUCCCUAAACCCAAAUUAUUACUUAUGUAAAUUUCUCAAACCCUGUUAAUUCGUUGAACAAGAUUUUAAAUCUUAAAUUAUUGUUGAUAUGAUAUACCAAACCUAAACUUAAAUCACCACUUAUUGUAAUGUUAUUGCUAUAGCUUCAGCAUCACUAAGAAAUGAAUUGUUUAUUCCUAUGAUGUUGUUUAUUGAGCAUAAACUAUUGUGUCAAACCAAAUUACUUUGGUAAGAUAUCAUAUCCUGAAGUUGUGUAUCCCGUAAGGGAUCGAGAUUUGGUCAAUAAUAUAUUGACAUUUGGGUGCAUAUGAGCACUAGUAGGAUGAGAUGCAUACUCCUAGGAUAUUGAGUAGGCUGAUCCCCUAUCUCAUAUCUAAACAAAGUUUCUAAGUCUGUGUGACUGAUCACAGAAAUAAAAAGUCCAGAAAUGAUUGAAAAAGAAAUUUCAGAAAUGGUAGCAACUAUCAGUUAAAUUUUGAAUUUUUAUACUUCUUCAAAUCAUAUAUUGUUAUAAAUAUAGAGCCUACUGAGCAUGUCAUAGCUCACCCUUGCAAAUUAUUCCCUUUGCAGUAUUAGAUGGUAACCCUGGCACAUCUGGAGUAGAUAAAUGGAAGCGUUCCUGCUUUAAUUAGCUUAUAUUCCUGUCUGGUUGAAUACUUUGUAAUAAGAAAUUCUUUAUGAAGAAUCAUGUAAUCGAAUCUUAAUAUUUAUGAUAUAUAACAUCUUUUAUUU
Molecule: long non-coding RNA, 19300 nt
Filed under: Panax ginseng (ginseng)
Lineage: Eukaryota; Viridiplantae; Streptophyta; Magnoliopsida; Apiales; Araliaceae
Description: long non-coding RNA (PGIN_LNC000172)
Source: RNAcentral